UACGAAGGGUGCAAGCGUUACUCGGAAUUACUGGGCGUAAAGCGUGCGUAGGUGGUUUGUUAAGUCUGAUGUGAAAGCCCUGGGCUCAACCUGGGAACGGCAUUGGAAACUGGCUUACUAGAGUGCGGUAGAGGGGUGUGGAAUUCCCGGUGUGGCAGUGAAAUGCGUAGAUAUCGGGAGGAACAUCUGUGGCGAAGGCGACACCCUGGACCAGCACUGACACUGAGGCACGAAAGCGUGGGGAGCAAACAGG
This 253-nucleotide ribosomal RNA is filed under the name uncultured bacterium. RNAcentral describes it as "partial 16S ribosomal RNA". It matches the Rfam family "Bacterial small subunit ribosomal RNA", at positions 524 to 776 of the family's 1533-position model. The record is from RNAcentral.